CGGGUACUUGUACCUGGUGGCGAGCGGCGGACGGGUGAGUAAUGCCUAGGAAUCUGCCUGGUAGUGGGGGAUAACGCUCGGAAACGGACGCUAAUACCGCAUACGUCCUACGGGAGAAAGCAGGGGACCUUCGGGCCUUGCGCUAUCAGAUGAGCCUAGGUCGGAUUAGCUAGUUGGUGAGGUAAUGGCUCACCAAGGCGACGAUCCGUAACUGGUCUGAGAGGAUGAUCAGUCACACUGGAACUGAGACACGGUCCAGACUCCUACGGGAGGCAGCAGUGGGGAAUAUUGGACAAUGGGCGAAAGCCUGAUCCAGCCAUGCCGCGUGUGUGAAGAAGGUCUUCGGAUUGUAAAGCACUUUAAGUUGGGAGGAAGGGCAUUUACCUAAUACGUAAGUGUUUUGACGUUACCGACAGAAUAAGCACCGGCUAACUCUGUGCCAGCAGCCGCGGUAAUACAGAGGGUGCAAGCGUUAAUCGGAAUUACUGGGCGUAAAGCGCGCGUAGGUGGUUUGUUAAGUUGGAUGUGAAAUCCCCGGGCUCAACCUGGGAACUGCAUUCAAAACUGACAAGCUAGAGUAUGGUAGA
This 587-nucleotide ribosomal RNA is filed under the name Pseudomonas sp. Its description in RNAcentral is "bacterial SSU rRNA". It matches the Rfam family "Bacterial small subunit ribosomal RNA", at positions 73 to 655 of the family's 1533-position model. The record is from RNAcentral. Lineage: Bacteria; Pseudomonadati; Pseudomonadota; Gammaproteobacteria; Pseudomonadales; Pseudomonadaceae.